This 535-nucleotide ribosomal RNA is filed under the name uncultured fungus. RNAcentral describes it as "eukaryotic LSU rRNA". The stretch from base 181 to 334 matches the Rfam family "5.8S ribosomal RNA". Lineage: Eukaryota; Fungi. The record is from RNAcentral.
AAGGAUCAUUAUCGAGUUAGGGUCCUCUGGGCCCCAUCUCCAACCCUUGUCUAUUCUACCACGUUGCUUUGGUGGGCCCGUCUUUGGACCGCCGGGGGGAAUCUCGCUCCCUGGCCCGCGCCCGCCGAAAGGCCCCACAAAUCCGUCGAACAGUGAUGUCUGAGUCUCGAGAAUAACAAAAACUUUCAACAACGGAUCUCUUGGUUCUGGCAUCGAUGAAGAACGCAGCGAAAUGCGAUAAGUAAUGCGAAUUGCAGAAUUCCGUGAGUCAUCGAAUCUUUGAACGCACAUUGCGCCCUUUGGUAUUCCGAAGGGCAUGCCUGUUCGAGCGUCAUUAUCACCCCUCAAGCCCGGCUUGCAGUUGGGUCUCACCGCGGCGGGUCCGCGGUGGAUCCAAAAGAUAAUGGCGGUGCCCGUGGGGCCCUGGACGCAACGAGCUUUCCAGCACGCGUCCGCGCGGUCUCCCGGCGGCGCCUCAACCACAUCUGUCCCGCAGAUUGACCUCGGAUCAGGUAGGGAUACCCGCUGAACUUAA